Molecule: ribosomal RNA, 301 nt
Filed under: uncultured bacterium
Lineage: Bacteria
Description: partial 16S ribosomal RNA
Rfam family: Bacterial small subunit ribosomal RNA
Source: RNAcentral
CAGCAGCCACGGGAAUACAGAGGGUGCAAGCAUUAAUCGGAAUUACUGGGCGUAAAGCGCGCGUAGGUGGUUUGUUAAGUUGGAUGUGAAAUCCCCGGGCUCAACCUGGGAAUGGCAAUGGAUACUGGCAAGCUAGAGUGUGUCAGAGGGGGGGUGGAAUUCCGCGUGUAGCAGUGAAAUGCGUAGAUAUGCGGAGGAACACCGAUGGCGAAGGCAGCCCCCUGGGCCAACACUGACGCUCAUGCACGAAAGCGUGGGGAGCAAACAGGAUUAGAUACCCCAGUAGUCCCUGUCUCUUAUA